GACAUAUUGUAUGUGUGAAAGCAUUUUUGAAACCAGGUGGAGGUAUUGCUGUUCAUUCGACAUCUUGUCUCUUCUAUGUCCUGCUGUGCGUUUUCCAGCACUAUCAACGUUUUGUCAAUUUUUCAAGGCUAAUGCCUAGCCUAUCCCUAGCCCACAAUAUGUCAUAGGCAUAGUCUGCACAUGGCUCCAUCUAUUAGACAGAGAUAGAAAAUAUCAAGAAGAGUGUAGAUACACAACUUUAUUUCUGUUUCUGUAUGAUUAUUACAAGAUCAUUUGGGUUAAGAAUUUCAUGGUGUUCAAUCAUGGAAACGGGUCAGCUAGGGUCUACAGUACAGGUAAAUAUAGUAGGCCUAGUCAUUAAAGCUAUUGUUAUGUUGUUGCCCCCGUUCUUGCAGAAGUUCUGCAGAGUCUUGUGGAAGGAGAGCAUAGCAAGUGCUACAGCAGAGUUUGAAAUAAGGCAGGUGCAACCAUCAGUCCCAACUGCAGCAAAAACGGAAGUGUCAAGGUGCUUGCCCCCGAUGCCUACAGAGAAGAGAGAGAGAGAGAGAGAGAGAGAGAGAGAGAGAGAGAGAGAGAGAUAAAGAGAGAGAGAGAGAUAAAGAGAGAGAGAGAGAUAAAGAGAGAGAUAAAGAGAGAGAUAAAGAGAGAGAAGGAACUGAAUUUCCACACUCUUAUAAAAGGGACUAUCUAGAGCCAUAAAGGGUUCUUCUGCUGUCCCUGUAUGAGAACCCUUUUUGGCUCCAUGUAGAACCGAUGUAGAACCGAUGUAGAACCCAACUUACCCAACAAACCAUGGUAUAACCUUAUAAUAACCCUUUGGUGAUAAGACCCAACCUGGAACCAAACAGGGUUCUCUGGGACAGCCAAAGAACCCUUUAUGGGUCGUUCUUGAACUGCAGUGGCAUUCACAUCCACGAAAAAAACACUUCAAAAUGACAAAUAGUUACACAUUAUUCAAGUUUUCUGUUUAAAAGACUGUUUAUCAGUCAUAAAACAUACUGCAAGUGCUUUAUAAUGCAAAACGUUAUGUUUAUGCAUUGUUUAAAGUACAGUUAUAGUGACAUAUUUUGUGUCACGUCCUGACCAGCAGAUGGAGCUGGUGUAGUAGUUUGGGGGUCAGGACGUGGCAGUCUUGUGUGUGUCUUGUGACUCCUGAUCAGGAACAGCUGGGAAUCGUUGUUCCUGAUUGGGAGUCAUAUAUGUAGGAGUUGUUUGUCACUGGGGUUUGUGGGUGGUUGUUUUGCACUGCGUUUUUUUUUUUUUUUUAGCCUGCAAACUGUUACUGCUGUCACGUUUAUUGUUUCCUGUGGAUGCUUUACUCCUUUUGUUGGGUAAUUAAAAAAUGAGUAUUCACAUACCUGCUGCGCCUUGGUUCAUUUCAGAAGACAGUCGUUACAUAUUGGGGGAUUUAAAGCUAUCAAUAUAUGUAUUAUUUUUGAAUUCUAGAAAGAAAACAAAAGCAUUACAUACAGUUGAAGUCAGAAGUUUACAUACACUUAGGUUGGAGUCAUUAAAACCCGUUUUUCAACCACUCCACAAAUUUCUUGUUAACAAACUAUAGUUUUGGCAAGUUGGUUAGGACAUCUACUUUGUGAAUGACACAAGUCAUUUUUCCAACAAUUGUUCACAGACAGAUUAUUUCACUUAUAAUUCAGUGUAUCACAAUUCCAGUGGGUCAUAAGUUUACAUACACUAAGUAGACUGUGCCUUUAAAUAGCUUGGAAAAUUGCAGAAAAUGAUGUCAUGGCUUUAGAAGCUUCUGAUAGGCUAAUUGACAUCAUUUGAGUCAAUUGGAGGUGCACCUGUGGAUGUAUUUCAAGGCCUACCUUCAAACUCAGUGCCUCAUUGCUUGACAUCAUGGGAAAAUCAAAAGAAAUCAGCCAAGACCUCAGAAAACAAAUUGUAGACCACAAGUCUGGUUAAUCCUUGGGAUUAAUUUCCAAAUGCCUGAAGGUACCACGUUCAUCUGUACAAACAAUAGUACGCAAGUAUAAACACCAUGGGACCACGCAGCCGUCAUCAAGAAGGAGACGCGUUCUGUCUCCUAGAGAUGAACGUACUUUGGUGCGAAAAGUGCAAGUCAAUCCCAGAACAACAGCAAAGGUGCUGGAGGAAACAGGUACAAAAGUAUCUAUCUCCACAGUAAAACAAGUCCUAUAUUGACAUACCUGAAAGGCUGCUCAGCAAGGAAGAAGUCAUUGCUCCAAAACCGCAAUAAAAAAGACUACGGUUUGAAACUGCACAUGGGGACAUAGAUCGUACUUUUUGGAGAAAUGUCCUCUGGUCUGAUGAAACAAAAAUAGAAUUGUUUGGCCAUAAUGACCAUCGUUAUGUUUGGAGGAAAAAGGGGGAGGCUUGCAAGCCGAAGAACACCAUCCCAACCGUGAAGCACGGUGGUGGCAGCAUCAUGUUGUGGGGGUGCUUUGCUGCAGAAGGGACUGGUGCACUUCACAAAAUAGAUGGCAUCAUGAGGGAGGGAAAAUUAUGUGGAUAUAUUGAAGCAACAUCUCAAGACAUCAGUCAGGAAGUUAAAGCUUGGUCGCAAAUAGUUCUUCCAAAUGAACAACGACCCCAAGCAUACUUCCUAACUUGUGGCAAAAUGGCUUAAGGACAACAAAGUCAAGGUAUUGGAGUGGCCAUCACAAAGUCCUGACCUCAAUCCCAUAGAAAAAUUGUGAGCAGAACUGAAAAAGCAUGUGCGAGCAAUGAGGCCUACAAACCUGACUCAGUUACACCAGCUCUGUCAGGAGGAAUGGGCCAAAAUUAACCCAACUUAUUGUGGGAAGCUUGUGGAAGGCUACCUGAAAUGUUUGACCCAGGUUAAACAAUUUAAAGGCAAUGCUACCAAAUACUAAUUGAGUGUAUGUAAACUUCUGACCCACUGGGAAUGUGAUGAAAGAAAUAAAAGCUGAAAUAAAUCAUUCUCUCUACUAUUAUUCUGACAUUUCACAUUCUUAAAAUAAAGUGGUGAUCCUAACCUAAGACAGGGAAUUUUUACUAGGAUUAAAUGUCAGGAAUUGUGAAAAACUGAGUUUAAAUGUAUUUGGCUGAGGUGUAUGUAAACUUCCCGCCUUCAACUGUAUAUUGUACUUAUCAAUAAAAACAAGACAGGCUAUUAAAAUUACUAUUAUUUUAACAAAUAUAAUACGUGUCCCUAAGUUUUAUCCCCAUUGGUGUAACCACCUUGAAAAUCACUCAUUACAAAGAUUUACAAGUACCUUGCAUUGACCUCCAGUGGAAAAGUUUUGCACUGGAGGGAUCUAUAUUAAAUACAAUUAUUAGCUAAUCACACCCUUUUAGCAACUCAUCAAUUUGAGGAUUCCAUUGAUCAUUUGGUGUGUCUAAAUAGUGUAAUUGGUGUUACAAAUGUUAAAUGAAGGGAAAUUACACUGUGAGCUAAAUUAUGAAUCAUAAACACUUUGGUCAAUUAUUUUUAAAGGUUUAAUGACCUUAGAUUCGAAUGUCCUCAAUUACCAAAAUGUUGUCAUUGGAGUUACCAUCACUGGUGUAACUACUUCUGCUGGUGGCACGAUGUUAUCAUAAUAGUAAAACAUUAUUAAAAGUCAUUAAGCUACCAUAUUAGUUCAUUUACAAUGGGAAGAUAUACCCAAUACAUUUUAUUAAAAAGAAUAGAGAAAAAUUAAGUUCAUUUUUUUCUCCAAAAUGCCACACCCAAAUACCGCCGCAAUUCAAGAACAACCCUUAUGGUAGGUAGGCCUAUAGACACUUUCUUAGUUUACAAUUCCCCUCUCCAUCUUCAAUUCACUGAUUAGCUCAAUCAAUUUGUAAAAAUAUGAGAAUACCUUGUUUGGGGCGUUCGUUGCAUUCACCU
RNAcentral lists this long non-coding RNA (3832 nucleotides) under Salmo salar (Atlantic salmon). RNAcentral describes it as "lncRNA (ENSSSAG00000116500.1)". Lineage: Eukaryota; Metazoa; Chordata; Actinopteri; Salmoniformes; Salmonidae. The record is from RNAcentral.